RNAcentral lists this ribosomal RNA (429 nucleotides) under Acidobacteriota bacterium. RNAcentral describes it as "Acidobacteria bacterium partial 16S ribosomal RNA". It matches the Rfam family "Bacterial small subunit ribosomal RNA", at positions 355 to 776 of the family's 1533-position model. Lineage: Bacteria; Pseudomonadati; Acidobacteriota. The record is from RNAcentral.
UGGGGAAUUUUGGACAAUGGGGGAAACCCUGAUCCAGCCAUCCCGCGUGUGCGUUGAAGGCCCCCGGGUUGUAAAGCACCUUUGGCAGGAAAGAAACGUCAUGGGUUAAUACCCCGUGAAACUGACGGUACCUGCAGAAUAAGCACCGGCUAACUACGUGCCAGCAGCCGCGGUAAUACGUAGGGUGCAAGCGUUAAUCGGAAUUACUGGGCGUAAAGCGUGCGCAGGCGGUUCGGAAAGAAAGAUGUGAAAUCCCAGAGCUCAACUUUGGAACUGCAUUUUUAACUGCCGAGCUAGAGUGUGUCAGAGGGAGGUGGAAUUCCGGGUGUAGCAGGGAAAUGCGUAGAUAUGCGGGGGAACACCGAUGGCGAAGGCAACCUCCUGGGAUUACACUGACGCUCAUGCAAGAAAGCGUGGGGAGCAAACAGG